CUGUUGAAGGAAGAAGAAAGCAACAAAAGACUGGAAGCUGAAAUUGAAUCAUCAGUCUAGACUGACUGCUGCUAUAAGUAAACACAGUGAAAGUGUGAAAACAGAAAGAAACCUAAAACUUGCAUUAGAGUGAACACAAGACGUUUCCGUACAAGUAAAAAUGAGUUCUGAUAUUUCCGAAGUAGAAGAUAAGAAUGAGUUUCUUACUGAACAACUUUCUAAAAUGCAAAUUAAACUCAAUACCUUAAAAGAUAAGUUCCGUAAGAAAAGAGAUACUCUCAGAAAAAAGUCAUCGGCUUUAGAAACUCUCCAAACGACCUAAGCCAAACACAGCAGCAAAUAAAGGAAAUGAAAGAGAUGUAUGAAAAUGCAGAAGAUAAAGUGAAUAAUUCCACUGGAAAGUGGAGCUGUGUAGAAGAGAGGAUAUGUCAUCUCCAACAUGAAAAUCCGUGCAUUGAACAGCAACUAGAUGAUGUUCAUCAGAAAGAGGAUCAUAAAGAGAUAGUAACUAAUAUCCAAAGAGGCUUUAUUGAGAGUGGAAAGAAAGACCUCAUGCUAGAAGAGAAAAAUAAGAAGCUAAUGAAUGAAUGUGAUCAUUUAAAAGAAAGUCUCUUUCAAUAUGAGAGAGAGAAAGCAGAAAGAGUAGUGGUUGUGAGACAACUUCAACAAGAAGCGGCUGACAGCCUAAAAAAAUUAACUAUGUUAGAGUCUCCACUGGAAGGCAUAUCACAUUAUCACAUUAAUUUGGAUGAGACACAGGUCCCAAAAAAGAAAUUAUUUCAAGUGGAAAGUCAAUUUGAUGAUCUUAUGGUGGAGAAGGAAGCUGUAUCUUCAAAAUGUGUCAAUUUGGCUAAAGAGAAUCAAGUUUUUCAACAGAAGUUAUUAUCUAUGAAAAAAGUACAACAGGAAUGUGAAAAACUUGAGGAGGAUAAAAAGAUGUUGGAAGAAGAAAUAUUAAAUCUUAAGACACAUAUGGAAAACAGUAUGGUAGAACUUAGUAAACUACAAGAAUAUAAAUCAGAGCUAGAUGAAAGGGCAAUGCAGGCAGUAGAAAAAUUAGAAGAAAUCCAUUUACAGGAACAAGCACAAUAUAAAAAACAAUUAGAGCAGUUAAACAAGGAUAUAAUACAGCUUCACUAAAUAAGAAGGAACUCACACUUAAAGAUGUGGAAUGUAAAUUCUACAAAAUGAAAACUGCUUAUGAAGAGGUUACAACUGAGUUAGAAGAAUAUAAGGAAGGCUUUGCAGCAGCAUUGAAAGCUAACAGUUCCAUGUCAAAAAAAUUAACUAAAUCGAAUAAGAAAAUAGCAAUGAUCAGUAUCAGCUCUUUAUGGAGAAAGAGCAGGUGAAAUAUUUUCUCAGCACUCUUCCUACAAGGCGAGGUCGAGAGUCACCUUGUGUUGAAAAUCUUACUAGUAUAGGACUCAACAGAAAAUAUAUUCCCCAAAUGCCCGUAAGAAUUCCUACUUCAAACCUCAGACUUCAAAUAACUGCCAGAACUACUUGACUGAUGUUAGUUAUAUGACCGUUUCUCUUUAGGGUUUCAUUUGUCUAGCGUAAUUCUUGUUUAUAAUUUGGUGAAACACUGAGUUGUUCUGUUGACUUUUGCAUGUGAAGUAAAGAUCAUAAUUAGCUGUGUUAACACAGAAAGGAAAUGGGAACUUUACAUUUUUUAAUUCCCUGGAGCUCUCAUUUUCAAGAGAUAUCCAUUUGCUAACUUUAUUCAAUAAAUGUGACUAAACUG
Molecule: RNA transcript, 1744 nt
Organism: Homo sapiens (human)
Lineage: Eukaryota; Metazoa; Chordata; Mammalia; Primates; Hominidae
Gene: ANKRD20A12P
Gene name: ankyrin repeat domain 20 family member A12, pseudogene
Exons: 5
Source: RefSeq, marked validated